GAUGAACGCUGGCGGCGUGCCUAAUACAUGCAAGUCGAGCGAACGGACGAGAAGCUUGCUUCUCUGAUGUUAGCGGCGGACGGGUGAGUAACACGUGGAUAACCUACCUAUAAGACUGGGAUAACUUCGGGAAACCGGAGCUAAUACCGGAUAAUAUUUUGAACCGCAUGGUUCAAAAGUGAAAGACGGUCUUGCUGUCACUUAUAGAUGGAUCCGCGCUGCAUUAGCUAGUUGGUAAGGUAACGGCUUACCAAGGCAACGAUGCAUAGCCGACCUGAGAGGGUGAUCGGCCACACUGGAACUGAGACACGGUCCAGACUCCUACGGGAGGCAGCAGUAGGGAAUCUUCCGCAAUGGGCGAAAGCCUGACGGAGCAACGCCGCGUGAGUGAUGAAGGUCUUCGGAUCGUAAAACUCUGUUAUUAGGGAAGAACAUAUGUGUAAGUAACUGUGCACAUCUUGACGGUACCUAAUCAGAGAGCCACGGCUAACUACUUGCCAGCCGCCGGCGGUAAUACGUAGGUGGGAAGCCUCCUCCCGAUUAUUGGGCGUAAAGCGCGCGUAGGCGGUUUUUUAGUCUGAUGUGAAAGCCCACGGCUCAAUUGUGGAGGGUCAUUGGAAACUGGAAAACUUGAGUGCAGAAGAGGAAAGUGGAAUUCCAUGUGUAGCGGUGAAAUGCGCAGAGAUAUGGAGGAACACCAGUGGCGAAGGCGACUUUCUGGUCUGUAACUGACGCUGAUGUGCGAAAGCGUGGGGAUCAAACAGGAUUAGAUACCCUGGUAGUCCACGCCGUAAACGAUGAGUGCUAAGUGUUAGGGGGUUUCCGCCCCUUAGUGCUGCAGCUAACGCAUUAAGCACUCCGCCUGGGGAGUACGACCGCAAGGUUGAAACUCAAAGGAAUUGACGGGGACCCGCACAAGCGGUGGAGCAUGUGGUUUAAUUCGAAGCAACGCGAAGAACCUUACCAAAUCUUGACAUCCUUUGACAACUCUAGAGAUAGAGCCUUCCCCUUCGGGGGACAAAGUGACAGGUGGUGCAUGGUUGUCGUCAGCUCGUGUCGUGAGAUGUUGGGUUAAGUCCCGCAACGAGCGCAACCCUUAAGCUUAGUUGCCAUCAUUAAGUUGGGCACUCUAAGUUGACUGCCGGUGACAAACCGGAGGAAGGUGGGGAUGACGUCAAAUCAUCAUGCCCCUUAUGAUUUGGGCUACACACGUGCUACAAUGGACAAUACAAAGGGCAGCGAAACCGCGAGGUCAAGCAAAUCCCAUAAAGUUGUUCUCAGUUCGGAUUGUAGUCUGCAACUCGACUACAUGAAGCUGGAAUCGCUAGUAAUCGUAGAUCAGCAUGCUACGGUGAAUACGUUCCCGGGUCU
This 1371-nucleotide ribosomal RNA is filed under the name uncultured bacterium. RNAcentral's name for it is "16S ribosomal RNA". It matches the Rfam family "Bacterial small subunit ribosomal RNA", at positions 28 to 1381 of the family's 1533-position model. The record is from RNAcentral.